Molecule: ribosomal RNA, 503 nt
Filed under: Rumina decollata
Lineage: Eukaryota; Metazoa; Mollusca; Gastropoda; Stylommatophora; Subulinidae
Description: eukaryotic LSU rRNA
Rfam family: Eukaryotic large subunit ribosomal RNA (bases 427-503)
Source: RNAcentral
AUGGCGGCCUCGGGUCCAUCCCGGGGCCACGCCCGUCUGAGGGUCGGCGAGAGUCAAAGCCUUCGCUUCGCUUCUGGCAGCUGGUCCGGUUCUACCACGUCGUUUUUCACUCCGUGCUCGUGCGAGGGAGAAGCUGCGUCGUGGAUGAUGAAGACCGUCGAAGCGCACUGGGCUUUCGAGGACGAGGAGGAUCGAGUUUUCUCCUUCCACCUUCCCUCGUAGCCUCAAGUACACGAAUGCGCCGUCCCCGUCAUCUGAGCAUCGUUCUCUCGAAGCGCUCAUCUUCGUUCGCUCGCCGUCCGUCUGGCAGGACUCGGCUCGCUGUGAAUAAAACGAGCCUGCCGACCGUCCGAAGUGGCAUGCGGUUUCGAAGUGUGAGAGGGCGAUUGCCGCGGCGGCGCCAAUUUUUUUUGUCCGUUCUAAAUCCGACCUCAGAUCGGACGAGAUUACCCGCUGAAUUUAAGCAUAUAACUAAGCGGAGGAAAAGAAACUAACAAGGAUUU